GUUUUUAUAGUUGAAUACAACGUUGAUUUUUCAGGUCAGUAGUCCUGGUUAGAGUCCAGGUAAAAAUA
This 68-nucleotide transfer RNA is filed under the name Neurergus kaiseri (Luristan newt). RNAcentral's name for it is "tRNA-Glu". It matches the Rfam family "tRNA". Rfam says of the family: Transfer RNA (tRNA) molecules are approximately 80 nucleotides in length. Lineage: Eukaryota; Metazoa; Chordata; Amphibia; Caudata; Salamandridae. The record is from RNAcentral.